UGCGGACCUUUUAAAAGCUUGCUUUUAAAAGGUUAGCGGCGGACGGGUGAGUAACACGUGGGCAACCUGCCUGUAAGACUGGGAUAACGCCGGGAAACCGGGGCUAAUACCAGAUCGUUUUUUCCUCCGCAUGGAGGAAAAAGGAAAGGCGGCUUCGGCUGCCACUUACAGAUGGGCCCGCGGCGCAUUAGCUAGUUGGCGGGGUAAUGGCCCACCAAGGCAACGAUGUGUAGCCGACCUGAGAGGGUGAUCGGCCACAUUGGGACUGAGACACGGCCCAAACUCCUACGGGAGGCAGCAGUAGGGAAUCUUCCGCAAUGGACGAAAGUCUGACGGAGCAACGCCGCGUGAGUGAAGAAGGCCUUCGGGUCGUAAAACUCUGUUGCCGGGGAAGAACAAGUGCCGUUCAAACAGGGCGGCGCCUUGACGGUACCCGGCCAGAAAGCCACGGCUAACUAC
RNAcentral lists this ribosomal RNA (459 nucleotides) under uncultured bacterium. RNAcentral's name for it is "bacterial SSU rRNA". It matches the Rfam family "Bacterial small subunit ribosomal RNA", at positions 65 to 504 of the family's 1533-position model. The record is from RNAcentral.